Molecule: long non-coding RNA, 940 nt
Organism: Sphaerodactylus townsendi
Lineage: Eukaryota; Metazoa; Chordata; Lepidosauria; Squamata; Sphaerodactylidae
Exons: 2
Source: RefSeq, a predicted model, not a curated record
AUAAAAAGAAAACGUCCCGGCUUCUCCUCAGUGUCCCGCAGCCGUUAUGGCGGCUUCCUUGAGGGGUGGCUCCCUAUCUCUUUCCUCUCCCCCCCCCUUCCCCACCCAAGAAGUCCUAUUGGGUCCCAAACAUUUUGUGCGGGGGGGGAAAUUAGGCCUGGACCUCCUUGGAUAAAUUAUCCGGAGUACCUUGGCACCCCAAACGUUCCUCUCUCCCCACAAAACAGGGGGGCUCUAAUUUAAUUUUUUCAACAGGCUCUCUGCUACUUCCCAUCUUUGUUUUUUUUUUUUUUUAAAAAAAACCCUUUUAAAACCCCAACAACGUCCUGGGAGAAUUUUUUUCAUCGCUGUCGGGCCUCGAACUGGAGUGCCAAGGUUUGUUUUCAGUAACCAGGAGAGCCAAACACCUCUGUCAUUCACGCAGAAGGGAUUGCUGUUGCGAACGUUUUUAUUAGCCAGCGCAUGUGUUGUGAAUAUAUAGUUCCUUUAUGGUGCCAUAUAGCCGACUGGCAAGUGAUUAUUUACAACCUAUGUUGGCAGGCAGGUGUCCAGGGGUUUCUGGACUCACGAGGCACCUCCGAACAUCUGGAACAGUAUAAGCACUUCAUCGUCGUUCGUAAAGCUGCCGACACGAAAAGGAGUGGCCAGUGUACCAUUAACAACAUUCAGGGUAAAAUAUCAAUAUUGAUACCAUCCUUUGCCAGUGCACUGUUUAGUUUCUUAGUACAAUUCAGUUAUGCUUUAAAGGAAAAAAAAUUCUUCAACUUUUUUGAGGAAACAGAACGGCUUUUAUCAGUUUCCAUAUGUGUGGCAUGAGUGUAUACAGAUAUAUAGAGCCUGGUGUGAAAAUUGAUCCUUUUGUUCAGCAUGAAUAAAUCAUCAAUGGAAGCAACAUUCCAGAGUUGUAACAAGCAAUUAAAAAAAAAGACUUUAAAAUGAA